GUAUUUAUUUUUGGUUUAUCUCUUGGUAAAUCCAAAAGAUUUGAGAUGUCUCGUCUGUUUGGGCGAGUAUCUUUAAUAUUAUAGCCUCUUUUGUGGUAAAACAACUCUGCAGAACAGUAUUUGAAUGGAACUUUUUGUUUCUUUAAUGCCUAAUAUGCAGACUUACCUAUUGAAAAGGGGGUCCAUAAACUUAAAGUGGUCUAACCACUUGAA
Molecule: unclassified non-coding RNA, 213 nt
Filed under: uncultured fungus
Lineage: Eukaryota; Fungi
Description: sequence contains ITS2
Source: RNAcentral